CCUACGGGGGGCAGCAGUGAGGAAUAUUGGUCAAUGGGCGGAAGCCUGAACCAGCCAAGUCGCGUGAGGGAGUAAGGCCCUACGGGUCGUAAACCUCUUUUGCCGGGGAGCAGUGCCCAGCUCGUGAGCUGGGAGGGAGCGUACCCGGAGAAAAAGCAUCGGCUAACUCCGUGCCAGCAGCCGCGGUAAUACGGAGGAUGCGAGCGUUAUCCGGAUUCAUUGGGCUUAAAGGGAGCGUAGGCGGGCGUUCAAGUCAGCUGUAAAAUCGCGCGGCUCAACCGCGCCCCGCAGUUGAAACUGGACGCCUUGAGUUCACAACAGGCAGGCGGAAUUCGUGGUGUAGCGGUGAAAUGCAUAGAUAUCACGAGGAACCCCGAUUGCGAAGGCAGCCUGCCGGGGUGCGACUGACGCUGAGGCUCGAAGGUGCGGGUAUCAAACAGGAUUAGAUACCCGGGUAGUC
Molecule: ribosomal RNA, 460 nt
Filed under: uncultured bacterium
Lineage: Bacteria
Description: partial 16S ribosomal RNA
Rfam family: Bacterial small subunit ribosomal RNA
Source: RNAcentral